RNAcentral lists this ribosomal RNA (577 nucleotides) under uncultured bacterium. RNAcentral describes it as "bacterial SSU rRNA". It matches the Rfam family "Bacterial small subunit ribosomal RNA", at positions 338 to 916 of the family's 1533-position model. The record is from RNAcentral.
CCUACGGGAGGCAGCAGUAAGGAAUAUUGGUCAAUGGACGAAAGUCUGAACCAGCCAUGCCGCGUGAAGGAUUAAGGCCCUCUGGGUUGUAAACUUCUUUUAUCUGGGACGAAAAAAGGGUAUUCUUGCUCACUUGACGGUACCAGAGGAAUAAGCACCGGCUAACUCCGUGCCAGCAGCCGCGGUAAUACGGAGGGUGCAAGCGUUAUCCGGAUUUACUGGGUUUAAAGGGUGCGUAGGUGGGCUUGUAAGUCAGUGGUGAAAUCUCCGGGCUUAACCCGGAAACUGCCAUUGAUACUAUAGGUCUUGAAUUAUCUGGAGGUAAGCGGAAUAUGUCAUGUAGCGGUGAAAUGCUUAGAUAUGACAUAGAACACCAAUUGCGAAGGCAGCUUACUACGGAUAUAUUGACACUGAGGCACGAAAGCGUGGGGAUCAAACAGGAUUAGAUACCCUGGUAGUCCACGCCCUAAACGAUGGAUACUCGACAUCAGCGAUACACUGUUGGUGUCUGAGCGAAAGCAUUAAGUAUCCACCUGGGAAGUACGAUCGCAAGAUUGAAACUCAAAGGAAUUGACGG